UCAGUUCGGACUGUAGGCUGCAACUCGCCUACACGAAGCUGGAAUCGCUAGUAAUCGCGGAUCAGCACGCCGCGGUGAAUACGUUCCCGGGCCUUGUACACACCGCCCGUCACACCAUGAGAGUCUGUAACACCCAAAGCCGGUGGGGUAACCUUUUGGAGCCAGCCGUCUAAGGUGGGACAGAUGAUUGGGGUGAAGUCGUAACAAGGUAGC
RNAcentral lists this ribosomal RNA (213 nucleotides) under uncultured bacterium. RNAcentral's name for it is "partial 16S ribosomal RNA". It matches the Rfam family "Bacterial small subunit ribosomal RNA", at positions 1288 to 1500 of the family's 1533-position model. The record is from RNAcentral.